Molecule: small RNA, 208 nt
Filed under: human gut metagenome
Description: RT-2 RNA
Rfam family: RT-2 RNA (bases 40-208)
About the family: Coriobacteriales (Actinobacteria), Clostridiales (Firmicutes). Downstream gene
Source: RNAcentral
GGUAAAAUAAAGUAGUUUUGAAAUAACACUUUAACUUUUUCUAUAAAGAAAGGAUUGACAUAUCCUUAGAAUAUAAAUUCUAGAAGAUGAUCGAUGAUGUAAUUACUCGAACGCUUCUUGCAUGGUUAGGAGUUUAUUCAUUUAUCUUAAUUUCAUGGGUAAUUGCUAAGUAAGCAGCUUAAAUGAAUAAUAAAACUUAUACAUUGAU